This 72-nucleotide transfer RNA is filed under the name Erinaceus europaeus (western European hedgehog). It matches the Rfam family "tRNA". Rfam says of the family: Transfer RNA (tRNA) molecules are approximately 80 nucleotides in length. Their secondary structure includes four short double-helical elements and three loops (D, anti-codon, and T loops). Lineage: Eukaryota; Metazoa; Chordata; Mammalia; Eulipotyphla; Erinaceidae. The record is from Rfam by way of RNAcentral.
GGUGAUAUAGCUCAGUGAUAGAGUACAUGCUUCAUGCAUAUGAGGCUCUGAGUUUGAUCCCUGGCAUCUCCA